RNAcentral lists this ribosomal RNA (253 nucleotides) under uncultured bacterium. Its description in RNAcentral is "partial 16S ribosomal RNA". It matches the Rfam family "Bacterial small subunit ribosomal RNA", at positions 524 to 776 of the family's 1533-position model. The record is from RNAcentral.
UACGUAUGGUGCAAGCGUUAUCCGGAUUUACUGGGUGUAAAGGGAGCGCAGGCGGCACGGCAAGCCUGAUGUGAAAGCCCGCGGCCCAACCGCGGGACUGCAUUGGGAACUACCGGGCUGGAGUGCCGGAGAGGUAGGCGGAAUUCCUAGUGUAGCGGUGAAAUGCGUAGAUAUUAGGAGGAACACCAGUGGCGAAGGCGGCCUACUGGACGGUGACUGACGCUGAGGCUCGGAAGCGUGGGGAGCAAACAGG